This 253-nucleotide ribosomal RNA is filed under the name uncultured bacterium. RNAcentral's name for it is "partial 16S ribosomal RNA". It matches the Rfam family "Bacterial small subunit ribosomal RNA", at positions 524 to 776 of the family's 1533-position model. The record is from RNAcentral.
UACGUAGGGAGCAAGCGUUGUCCGGAAUCAUGGGGCGUAAAGCGCGCGUAGGUGGCCUCGUAAGGCCGCUGUGAAAGUCCAAGGCUCAACCUUGGAAAGCCGGUGGAUACUGUGAGGCUAGAGUACGGAAGAGGCGAGUGGAAUUCCUGGUGUAGCGGUGGAAUGCGCAGAUAUCAGGAGGAACACCAAUAGCGAAGGCAGCUCGCUGGGACGUUACUGACACUGAGGCGCGAAAGCGUGGGGAGCGAACAGG